Molecule: ribosomal RNA, 253 nt
Filed under: uncultured bacterium
Lineage: Bacteria
Description: partial 16S ribosomal RNA
Rfam family: Bacterial small subunit ribosomal RNA
Source: RNAcentral
UACGAAGGGGGCUAGCGUUGCUCGGAAUUACUGGGCGUAAAGCGCACGUAGGCGGCUUUCUAAGUCGGGGGUGAAAUCCUGGAGCUCAACUCCAGAACUGCCUUCGAUACUGGAGAGCUCGAGUCCGGGAGAGGUGAGUGGAACUCCGAGUGUAGAGGUGAAAUUCGUAGAUAUUCGGAAGAACACCAGUGGCGAAGGCGGCCCACUGGCCCGGUACUGACGCUGAGGUGCGAAAGCGUGGGGAGCAAACAGG